CCUACGGGAGGCAGCAGUGGGGAAUAUUGGGCAAUGGGCGCAAGCCUGACCCAGCAACGCCGCGUGAAGGAAGAAGGCUUUCGGGUUGUAAACUUCUUUUCUCAGGGACGAAGCAAGUGACGGUACCUGAGGUAUAAGCCACGGCUAACUAUGUGCCAGCAGUCGCGGUAAUACGUAGGCGGCAAGCGUUAUCCGGAUUUGUUGGGUUUAAAGGGCGUGUAUGCGGGAGCGGAAGGCAGAUGUGAAAACUCAGGGCUCAACCCUGAGCCUGCGUUUGAAACUGUGUUUCUUGAGUGCUGGAGAGGCAAUCGGAAUUCCGGGUGUAGCGGUGAAAUGCGUAGAUAUACGGAGGAACACCGGUGGCGAAGGCGGAUUGCUGGACAGUAACUGACGCUGAGGCGCGAAAGCGUGGGGAGCAAACAGGAUUAGAUACCCCUGUAGUC
This 443-nucleotide ribosomal RNA is filed under the name uncultured bacterium. Its description in RNAcentral is "partial 16S ribosomal RNA". It matches the Rfam family "Bacterial small subunit ribosomal RNA", at positions 338 to 795 of the family's 1533-position model. The record is from RNAcentral.